AAGGGAGAGAGAGAAGGAGAGGGAGAGAAAGAGGGGAAACGAUUUUCGAACAAGUGGAGAACGAUACGGAUAUAGGUAUACCGCGAUGUACGAUGUAUCAAAUAAUACCAGUACAUGUGUUUGCGUAUACUAUACGCCGUAUCAACCGACAACCAUUAAAAGAAACCUGCUCAUGAUCAUCGUCAUCUACUUGAUGACAAAUACAUGUACACCUUAUAGGCGUUCGUUUAUAUCUUUUAUUCUAUCUGCCCAUUUCUCUUGUGAAAUACAAGUACAAGCGCCAGGCUGCAGCACUCUCACCGCUAAUUCUUUUACCGAUUCUCAUACGGAAGAACGACUGCAGAAGAAUCUUUAUCUUUUUGAAGGUUUUUUUUUUCUUCUCGCUCCUGAUCUCUUCCGUCGUUGACAAUUUUCUUAUUCUCUGACGAUGAUGUAAAAGAACUCAAUCCGCGAAGAAUAUUGACAGAAUAUUGUCCGCAAUUAUUCCAGGUAAAUUAGUAUGCCACGAAUUUUGACGAUCUGAAAAUGGAAGCGGUACAGUACCUACGUAUACGUGUCAUGUAAAAUAAAAUAUAUGUAACGUGGGUUGGAACCUGACCUUAUCUCUCACUGAUAUACGUACAUACUAUACAAUAAGUAUAUACAUAUACACCUACGAUGUACAUAUGAUACGGUAAUAUGUAGGUAUGUAUAUUACAUAAUUCUAUAUAUACACAGGUAUAUUCGACACGGUGGACUUCGGAAAUAAAAGGUUGUUCUCUCUCUCUGCUUUAGUUGGUACGGUUUUUAUCGCGUUUACGAUACACGCGAGACGUUGGUGUGCACAUACGUUACACAUACACAUAGAAAUGGCAUGUCUUAUCGCGUGGGCUUUGCACGGCGUAUGAGCUGUUAAGCGACACUUUGCAGCUGACUGAGAAAUUCAAUCUUCCCAUAAAUAGGGUUGUCGCUUUCCUUGUGCUUUUUCUUAUUUUUCCCCCCCAUAUUUUUGUAUCGUUUCAAUUUUUUAUUUCCAGCCGCAAUGUAGUUUCGCAGGAGUAAAAUCAGUAACACGAGUAUAACGAGAACCUGGAAAUGCAGAUUGUCACUGUACAAACUGCACCUGGUGCAUGUAACUCGGAGUCGAGUAUUUGAAUAGUUCCUGUUUUAGUUAUUAUUAUUUUUCUAUGACAUUUUCUAAUUUCGAUACGCCGCCAGGUAUGAGCGUACGUUGGUCUGGAAUUCUGCACGACGAUGACCAGGUCACCAGGUGACUAAAUAAGAUUGGUUAUUUGAGAGAAGGAGACUCCGAUGCGUGGUGAUUAGCAUCUCCUUAAAAUUCGUCGGGUGCCGCUCGCCUGAAGACUCUAUACUUAUACGGGGUACGGAGUAUACUAUACACGGCGAACGAGUAAGUAGAAUGAUGCAGCGGAGCGGAUAUACCAGAAAUCCUCCAAGGAAGGAAGAAAGAAUACACGCGUGUACCGAAAAAAGAAAAUUAUAGCUGCGCACGAAACGCUCGCUGUCUGAAUCAUUUUUGAAAAUAUUAUCCGCGCCUCCAAAAACCUUACGCAUGCAUACACGAAACAUGUAAAUAGGUAGAAAACAUAAGGAUGGGGUAAAAAAGAGUUUAUGAAAGCUUUUUGUCCCCAAGAUACAAAAAAAAUCUAUACUCUUCGUACUUUUUGGAAAAAUUUUUUCGUAAAAUUCUCCACCGUUGAAAGAUAGACAAGGAUCAAUUCUAGAUGAGUGCCUGAUUUUAGGCAGUCGGUGGGAGAUACUCGGACGUGUCGACUGGGGCGCAUAUAGUUAGGCAUAUUCAAGGGAUGAGAAAUCAGUUUGUCAAAAAUUCCUGAGUCAGGGAUUCGUUAUCUCACCAAUUGUGAAAAUAUUUCUUCUCUCGCAUUGAUGGUUGAUUUACGACUUCUUUAUUCUUCAUUGAGCAUUUCGAAUCUCUUAAUUCUUGCAAUCGCAAAUUUACCGUUAAAUUUCACUUCUAACUAUCGUUAGCCCUGUGAACCAGUUGCGUUGAAAAAAGUCAAGUAAUAUUCAGUACGAUAUCAGGUAAUAUUGAGGUGUAAAUUGACACGGUUCUCCGGUUUGCAUUUUAUGAGAUGAAGAUGAGUUGUAUCGACAGUCGGUCCCGAGUAAAAUUCGUCGUAGGAGAUCCCUGACUUACCAAUAUAUCUACUGUUGACUGAAACGACUUGUAUCGGAAUGAAUGCUCAAAUAUCUUCAUUAAUCCAUACAGUUGUAUGAACAAUUAUAACUGACAACAAAUCAGGGUUGAGGUUUUGUUCAUUGGUGAAUAAGUCAUGAAUCAUUGAUUAUCAUUGAAUCACUUUAUUGUCACACGCCAUUUGUGGCAUUGGGGGUAUGUUUUUUAUCCAUCUUUUUAUCUGUUAUAUUAUAUUAUACUGGAUACAGUCACUAAUGCUUUAUAUUAAUCGCCCGGUGUAUUUCUAACGCUGGUGUAGCCUUUUCUAUGUAUAAAUAUACAUGUAUAAUAUUUACAUGUUCAACACACACAUAUAUAUGUAUACAUAAAUCUC
This is a long non-coding RNA of Athalia rosae (coleseed sawfly), 2531 nucleotides long. RefSeq lists it as uncharacterized. The transcript has 2 exons. The record is from RefSeq and is a predicted model, not a curated record. Lineage: Eukaryota; Metazoa; Arthropoda; Insecta; Hymenoptera; Athaliidae.